AUUGAACGCUGGCGGCAGGCCUAACACAUGCAAGUCGAGCGGAAACGAGUUAUCUGAACCUUCGGGGAACGAUAACGGCGUCGAGCGGCGGACGGGUGAGUAAUGCCUAGGAAAUUGCCCUGAUGUGGGGGAUAACCAUUGGAAACGAUGGCUAAUACCGCAUGAUGCCUACGGGCCAAAGAGGGGGACCUUCGGGCCUCUCGCGUCAGGAUAUGCCUAGGUGGGAUUAGCUAGUUGGUGAGGUAAGGGCUCACCAAGGCGACGAUCCCUAGCUGGUCUGAGAGGAUGAUCAGCCACACUGGAACUGAGACACGGUCCAGACUCCUACGGGAGGCAGCAGUGGGGAAUAUUGCACAAUGGGCGCAAGCCUGAUGCAGCCAUGCCGCGUGUAUGAAGAAGGCCUUCGGGUUGUAAAGUACUUUCAGUCGUGAGGAAGGUAGCGUAGUUAAUAGCUGCAUUAUUUGACGUUAGCGACAGAAGAAGCACCGGCUAACUCCGUGCCAGCAGCCGCGGUAAUACGGAGGGUGCGAGCGUUAAUCGGAAUUACUGGGCGUAAAGCGCAUGCAGGUGGUUUGUUAAGUCAGAUGUGAAAGCCCGGGGCUCAACCUCGGAAUAGCAUUUGAAACUGGCAGACUAGAGUACUGUAGAGGGGGGUAGAAUUUCAGGUGUAGCGGUGAAAUGCGUAGAGAUCUGAAGGAAUACCGGUGGCGAAGGCGGCCCCCUGGACAGAUACUGACACUCAGAUGCGAAAGCGUGGGGAGCAAACAGG
RNAcentral lists this ribosomal RNA (769 nucleotides) under uncultured Pseudoalteromonadaceae bacterium. RNAcentral describes it as "bacterial SSU rRNA". It matches the Rfam family "Bacterial small subunit ribosomal RNA", at positions 28 to 776 of the family's 1533-position model. The record is from RNAcentral. Lineage: Bacteria; Pseudomonadati; Pseudomonadota; Gammaproteobacteria; Alteromonadales; Pseudoalteromonadaceae.